Phragmites australis (common reed) is the source of this 1208-nucleotide RNA transcript. RefSeq lists it as uncharacterized. The record is from RefSeq and is a predicted model, not a curated record. The transcript has 3 exons. NCBI's taxonomy places the organism in Eukaryota, Viridiplantae, Streptophyta, Magnoliopsida, Poales, Poaceae.
AUCCACCGCGGCCGCUUCCCCCCACCUCGAAGCUCUCUUCUCCAAGUCCCCCCUUCGCUUUGCGAGGGGGCGAAGGGGAGGGGCAAACGCCACGCCAUGGAGAAGGCGGGGCACCAUCUUAUAGGCGCCGGCGGCGGAGGGAAGAGGAGGGGGCCGGCGGCGGCGCCGUUGGGGCUGCAGAAGCAGAACUCGUGGUCGCCGGACAUCGAGCGGGACGAGGCGUGGGAGCGGCGGCGGCGCGGGAUGCACCCCGGGGGUUCGACGCUGCGGCGCGUACGGAGCGUCACGGACGACGACCUCGACGAGCUCCGCGGGUGCAUCGAUCUGGGGUUCAGGUUCGAGCCGGCCGCCGGGUCCGGGUGCGCGGCGUGCGGCGCCGGGAGGACCCGCCUCGUGGAGACGCUCCCCGCGCUGGACAUCUACUACGCCGUGCACGGCGGCAGUGCCGGCGGCGGCGGAGCGGAGGGGUGCGCGUGCUCGUGCGGCGCCGCGUCGGAGGCGUCCUCCGAGGAGUCGCCGCUCGGCAGCCCCAUGUCCAUACUCUCUCCUGGCGACACGCCGGAGACGGUGAAGAUGCGGCUGAAGCAGUGGGCGCAGGUGGUCGCACUCUCCGUGCUCAACCGCCGCUGAGCUCGGGGGAGGCCCUUCCAUCGCCGUCACUACCUUGCAUUGGGGGAGGAGAGAAACAUUCGAGGUCAAGAAGAAAGGAAUCCCCGGCCGCAUCGGGCAGAAAAGAGGAAGAGAAAAGAAGAAAAUAAUUUCUGUUACGGCUUGAUAGAUCAAGAGCAAGAAAUAUAGCUAGGAGGCAACAAAAGCCGUGUUCCAGUAUUUUGCGCUGCUGCUAUACUUACAACCUUUUACGUAGUAUUGUCGUACCACACGUGGAGCUUACACAUGAAAUAAGGUAUUUCUGUGCACGCAUAGAAAUUCUGUAUGAUUCGAUUGGGUUAGAAAAUUGUUUCGGUUGUUGAUUCAGCUGCAGCAUCCUGUGUUCACAUAGGAUAGUUUCUUACGAGUGAGAGCUGUUAUGAACAGACGUCAUUUAGCUUGAUAAGCAUGUGAUGUCAUAUAACUGUCAUUAGCUGUUUUUCUAUGUAAUUAAUAGUUACUAAUGAAGGGACACAUGUGUAUGUAUAUAUGUAAACUCUUCACUAUGUAUGUAUAUGUAAACUCUAUCUAUUAAUCAAUACAAAAUUUUCAUUCUCUUA